AGAGAGGCUAUAUACAGUAGUGAGACUAUAUACAGUAGAGAGGAUAUAUACAGUAGAGAGGCUAUAUACAGUAGUGAGGUUAUAUACAGUAGAGAGGAUAUAUACAGUAGAGAGGCUAUAUACAGUAGAGAGGCUAUAUACAGUAGUGAGGCUAUAUACAGUAGAGAGGAUAUAUACAGUAGUGAGACUAUAUACAGUAGUGAGGCUAUAUACAGUAGUGAGGCUAUAUACAGUAGAGAGGCUAUAUACAGUAGAGAGGCUAUAUACAGUAGAGAGGCUUUAUACAGUAGAGAGGCUAUAUACAGUAGCGAGGCUAUAUACAGUAGAGAGACUAUAUACAGUAGCGAGGCUAUAUAUGGGUAUUAUUUGACAUUACAUUAUAACUACAUAAUAAUAACCAUUUUAUUGAUCUUAUAAUUUCCCCCAUCUUGGCCUGAUCUAGUGAUACUCAUUUCUACAGUAUUUUUCUGACAAUUUGCCAUUUAGAAUGGAUAAUUUCUCCCCUCAUUUCACUCUCUCAGCUUUUGAUACAUGGGAGAGAUGCUGUUAUAGAAACCUCCCUGAU
Oncorhynchus tshawytscha (Chinook salmon) is the source of this 565-nucleotide long non-coding RNA. NCBI's taxonomy places the organism in Eukaryota, Metazoa, Chordata, Actinopteri, Salmoniformes, Salmonidae. The record is from Ensembl.